This 125-nucleotide ribosomal RNA is filed under the name Actinospica durhamensis. Its description in RNAcentral is "Bacterial large subunit ribosomal RNA". It matches the Rfam family "Bacterial large subunit ribosomal RNA", at positions 2802 to 2925 of the family's 2925-position model. Lineage: Bacteria; Bacillati; Actinomycetota; Actinomycetes; Catenulisporales; Actinospicaceae. The record is from Rfam by way of RNAcentral.
AGAUGAGUCCUCCCACCACCUUGAGUGGGUAAGGCCCCCUAGAGACCAUGGGGUUGAUAGGCCGGACAUGGAAGCGGGGUAACUCGUGGAGUGGACCGGUACUAAUAGGCCGAGGGCUUACACAC